CCAUUUUUAAAGUUACCCAAAGUUCCAGGGAACUUCAGUGUAGUGGAAAGAACGCCUAAGGAAAGCUCGCUUCGCAGAAACCAUCACUUCUUGGAAGCUAAGCUCUCAAAACAGUUUCAUAUAAUAUUAAAUGUGUUGGAGGAAAUUCGGACGCUUGGGUCGAUGAGGUGGGGUGGUGGAGCUGGAGCAGCCCUGAGCUCCCUGUGUGGGGGCUGCCCUGCCUGGAGCCACGGGCUGGGCCCCAAAGCCCCCAGGUCCCUUCCAGCCCGACCUGGUUUAUGAUUCAGCGCCCCAGAGUUGUGACAGUGCUGAAUCUCAGUGUUCGAAUGUGCUAAUUAGAUUCAGAAAAUGUACAUGUUGUUUUAGGUUGUCACACUGCUGAUAUCUGAGAAAUAAGAGUGGCUCCCAGCGAGCCUGCUGCACGCGGGUUUACACCCUCAGGGAGAAAAUGGGUUAUUUUGUUAGCAAUGCAGCAGAGCAUUUUCCUGUCUAAAUAAUACAAUAUUGAGAUUUUGCUAUAUAUAAAUGUCUUUUGGGGUAUGCUUUGGGUAUCUUUUUGGGAGGGGCAAUAUGUUCCUGCUGAAUUUUUUUUUUUCCUACUGCUUUUUACACAUCACACAUAAGAAUUCCUGCUUCAGGUGAUGUGCAUUGAGUUUGAAAUGCCUUGACAACAGAUAAUGGGAAAUUCAGGAAAUAAUCGCUUUCUUUUGAUACCUCCUCUUCUUCAUUUCCCCACCUCCCCCCAAAAAAGCAGGAAAGGCUUGGUGAGAAUAACGCAGACUGUGCCCAUGGAGCCUGGAGGAGCAGCAGAGAACGCAGAGAAGAGACCUCUGAAUGCUUUUGCUGUUUUCCGUAGGGAUGCCCUCAGAAACGGCCUUUAUUUUCUCUAAAUGACGGGAUGAUUUUCCUGUCUGUGAAGAUUGAGGACCAGAAGUGCUGUGUACUGCAGUCCCGUCCUUAUCCGCGGGCCAGACAUCAUAGCAGUCUGUCGUAUCGCUCUGCUGAGCCCGGACUCGGAGCAACAGCAACGGCAGAGGUGUGGGCAGAGCAGCGCAGUGCUCUUGCAGAAAGGGACAGGCUUUUCAGACAACCUUGUCUCCUGAAAAGGUGUGCAAAAACAUUUCUAUAG
Molecule: long non-coding RNA, 1129 nt
Filed under: Anser brachyrhynchus (Pink-footed goose)
Lineage: Eukaryota; Metazoa; Chordata; Aves; Anseriformes; Anatidae
Description: lncRNA (ENSABRG00000005823.1)
Source: RNAcentral